Molecule: ribosomal RNA, 949 nt
Filed under: uncultured bacterium
Lineage: Bacteria
Description: bacterial SSU rRNA
Rfam family: Bacterial small subunit ribosomal RNA
Source: RNAcentral
CCUACGGGAGGCAGCAGUGGGGAAUAUUGGACAAUGGGCGCAAGCCUGAUCCAGCCAUGCCGCGUGAGUGAUGAAGGCCCUAGGGUUGUAAAGCUCUUUUGUGCGGGAAGAUAAUGACGGUACCGCAAGAAUAAGCCCCGGCUAACUUCGUGCCAGCAGCCGCGGUAAUACGAAGGGGGCUAGCGUUGCUCGGAAUCACUGGGCGUAAAGGGUGCGUAGGCGGGUCUUUAAGUCAGGGGUGAAAUCCUGGAGCUCAACUCCAGAACUGCCUUUGAUACUGAAGAUCUUGAGUUCGGGAGAGGUGAGUGGAACUGCGAGUGUAGAGGUGAAAUUCGUAGAUAUUCGCAAGAACACCAGUGGCGAAGGCGGCUUACUGGUCCGGUUCUGACGCUGAGGCGCGAAAGCGUGGGGAGCAAACAGGAUUAGAUACCCUGGUAGUCCACGCCGUAAACGUUGGGCGCUAGGUGUGGGGCUCAUUCCACGAGUUCCGUGCCGCAGCUAACGCAUUAAGCGCCCCGCCUGGGGAGUACGGCCGCAAGGCUAAAACUCAAUGGAAUUGACGGGGGCCCGCACAAGCGGCGGAGCAUGUUGCUUAAUUCGAUGCAACGCGAAGAACCUUACCUAGGCUUGACAUGCACGGAAAUCUCCCAGAGAUGGGGGGUCCGUAAGGGCCGUGCACAGGUGGUGCAUGGUUGUCGUCAGCUCGUGUCGUGAGAUGUUGGGUUAAGUCCCGCAACGAGCGCAACCCUCGUCCUAUGUUGCCAGCACGUAAUGGUGGGGACUCAUAGGAGACUGCCGGGGUCAACUCGGAGGAAGGGGGGGAUGACGUCAAAUCAUCAUGCCCCUUAUGUCCAGGGCUGCAAACAUGCUACAAUGGGCGGGUACAAAGGGCUGCGAAACCGCGAGGGUGAGCGAAUCCCAAAAGCCGUCUUCAGUUCGGAUUGGGGUC